Bubalus bubalis (water buffalo) is the source of this 1119-nucleotide long non-coding RNA. RefSeq lists it as uncharacterized. The transcript is spliced from 4 exons. NCBI's taxonomy places the organism in Eukaryota, Metazoa, Chordata, Mammalia, Artiodactyla, Bovidae. The record is from RefSeq and is a predicted model, not a curated record.
ACACCUGGGAAGCCUCCUUUGCAUAAUCCCCUCCCCUUAAGCAUGGGAUGGACCUAAUGACUUACUUCUAACAAAUGGAAUGUCAUUCUACAGUUAGGCUACAGAAGACUGUGACUUCCACAUUACUUUUCAUUGUCUCUUGCUGGAAUUUACUCUUGCCUUCUUGCUUGCUUGCUACCAUUUUGUAAGAUGUUUUAUGGAUAGACCUACGUGGCAAGGAACUUCAAGAGACCUGCAGCCAACAACUCAUGAGGAGCAAAAGCCUCAGUUUAACAGACCACAGGAAUUUAAUCUUACCAACAACCAUGUAGAAGUCUGAAAAGAGAUGAUUCUGGAUUGUGGUAACUCAAAGAUGUCAUCAAGCAUCCAAGGUCUUUCUACCUUUCUGCUACACUGUCCUCGGUAUCCGGCUUUUAUUUCAAUGAAUACAAGAUGGCUGUCGCACCUCCAGGCAUCAAGACUGCAUUCCAAGAAGAGAGGAGUGGAAAGCCAAAAAGACAGAAGAGUUUUCGUCUGGAUUGACUGGCUCGAUCUCCUUCCUGUCCAAGAUACUCUCAAGAGUCUUCUCCAGAACCACAGUCCAAAAGCAUCAACCAGUAUCAUUGACUUCAUGAGUGGUGAAUUCUGAGGACACCAAAACAAAUAAUAAAUAAGGACUCCUUUCCUGGAUCAAGAAGGACAAGGGUAGGAACCAGACACUCUGCACCACUGCAUGCCCAGGGCUGGGCACUCCCAGCCAUCUGUGAAGUAGAGCAAGAGAGAAGCAGACAGCUGCAUCCACGCUGUGUACUCACAGGGUCUCUCCUCCGAGCACACAGUUCCUAGGUCUCUGUGUCCCUAAUCUCUUUUUAUAAAGACACCAGGCAGGCUGGAUUAGGACCCACCCUAACUGCCACAUUUUACCUUAAGAACUUCUUUAAAGGCCCCGUGUCCAAACACAGUCACAUUUUGAGGUUUUAGGGACCGGGGCUUCAACAUAUUAAUUUAGGGGAUGUGCAAUUCAGUCCUUAAUAUCAAUAACAAUAAUAGUGAUCGCUAAUACGUACUCAAUUCAGUUCAGUUCAAUUGCUUAGUUGUGUCCAACUCUUUGCAACCCCAUGGACUGCUGCAUACUAGGCC